RNAcentral lists this ribosomal RNA (443 nucleotides) under uncultured bacterium. Its description in RNAcentral is "partial 16S ribosomal RNA". It matches the Rfam family "Bacterial small subunit ribosomal RNA", at positions 338 to 795 of the family's 1533-position model. The record is from RNAcentral.
CCUACGGGUGGCAGCAGUGGGGAAUAUUUGGCAAUGGAGGAAACUCUGACCCAGCAACGCCGCGUGAAUGAUGAAGGUCUUCGGAUUGUAAAGUUCUUUUCUAAGGGAAGAAGAAAGUGACGGUACCUUAGGAAUAAGCCUCGGCUAACUACGUGCCAACAGCCGCGGUAAUACGUAGGAGGCAAGCGUUAUCCGGAAUGACUGGGCGUAAAGGGUGCGUAGGUGGUUUGAUAAGUUGGUAGCGUAACUCCGAGGCUUAACCUCGGCACUGCUACGCAUACUGUCGGACUUGAGUGCAGGAGGGGCAACUAGAAUUCCACGUGUAGCGGUGGAAUGCGUAGAGAUUUGGAGGAACACCAGUGGCGAAGGCGAGUUGCUGGACUGUAACUGACACUGAGGUACGAAAGCGUGGGGAGCAAACAGGAUUAGAUACCCGGGUAGUC